This 468-nucleotide ribosomal RNA is filed under the name uncultured bacterium. Its description in RNAcentral is "partial 16S ribosomal RNA". It matches the Rfam family "Bacterial small subunit ribosomal RNA", at positions 28 to 507 of the family's 1533-position model. The record is from RNAcentral.
GACGAACGCUGGCGGCGUGCUUAACACAUGCAAGUCGAACGGAAAGGCCCUGCUUUUGUGGGGUGCUCGAGUGGCGAACGGGUGAGUAACACGUGAGUAACCUUCCCUUGACUUUGGGAUAACUUCAGGAAACUGGGGCUAAUACCGGAUAGGAGCUCCUGCUGCAUGGUGGGGGUUGGAAAGUUUCGGCGGUUGGGGAUGGACUCGCGGCUUAUCAGCUUGUUGGUGGGGUAGUGGCUUACCAAGGCUUUGACGGGUAGCCGGCCUGAGAGGGUGACCGGCCACAUUGGGACUGAGAGACGGCCCAGACUCCUACGGGAGGCAGAAGUGGGGAAUAUUGCACAAUGGGCGGAAGCCUGAUGCAGCAACGCCGCGUGCGGGAUGACGGCCUUCGGGUUGUAAACCGCUUUCGCCUGUGACGAAGCGUGAGUGACGGUAAUGGGUAAAGAAGCACCGGCUAACUACGUG